UGGGGAAUUUUGGACAAUGGACGCAAGUCUGAUCCAGCCAUGCCGCGUGCGGGAGGAAGGCCUUCGGGUUGUAAACCGCUUUUGUCAGGGAAGAAACGAGUUUCUCUAAUACAGAGACUUAAUGACGGUACCUGAAGAAUAAGCACCGGCUAACUUCGUGCCAGCAGCCGCGGUAAUACGAAGGGUGCAAGCGUUACUCGGAAUUACUGGGCGUAAAGCGUGCGCAGGCGGUUAUGUAAGACAGAUGUGAAAUCCCCGGGCUCAACCUGGGAACUGCGUUUGUGACUGCAUAACUAGAGUACGGUAGAGGGGGAUGGAAUUCCGCGUGUAGCAGUGAAAUGCGUAGAUAUGCGGAGGAACACCGAUGGCGAAGGCAAUCCCCUGGACCUGUACUGACGCUCAUGCACGAAAGCGUGGGGAGCAAACA
RNAcentral lists this ribosomal RNA (427 nucleotides) under uncultured bacterium. Its description in RNAcentral is "bacterial SSU rRNA". It matches the Rfam family "Bacterial small subunit ribosomal RNA", at positions 355 to 774 of the family's 1533-position model. The record is from RNAcentral.